UACGUAGGGGGCAAGCGUUGUCCGGAUUUAUUGGGCGUAAAGAGCGUGUAGGCGGCCUGGAAGGUCCGUUGUGAAAACUCGAGGCUCAACCUCGAGACGUCGAUGGAAACCCUCAGGCUAGAGUCCGGAAGAGGAGAGUGGAAUUCCUGGUGUAGCGGUGAAAUGCGCAGAUAUCAGGAAGAACACCCGUGGCGAAGGCGGUUCUCUGGGACGGUACUGACGCUGAGACGCGAAAGCGUGGGGAGCGAACAGG
This 253-nucleotide ribosomal RNA is filed under the name uncultured bacterium. RNAcentral describes it as "partial 16S ribosomal RNA". It matches the Rfam family "Bacterial small subunit ribosomal RNA", at positions 524 to 776 of the family's 1533-position model. The record is from RNAcentral.